CAGCAGCCGCGGUAAAACGAAGGGUGCAAGCGUUACUCGGAAUUACUGGGCGUAAAGCGUGCGUAGGUGGUGGUUUAAGUCCGUUGUGAAAGCCCUGGGCUCGACCUGGGAAUUGCAGUGGAUACUGGGUCACUAGAGUGUGGUAGAGGAUAGUGGAAGUUCCGGUGUAGCAGUGAAAUGCGUAGAGAUCGGAAGGAACAUCUGUGGCGAAGGCGACUAUCUGGGCCAACACUGACACUGAGGCACGAAAGCGUGGGGAGCAAACAGGAUUAGAGACCCGGGUAGUCCCUGUCUCUUAUAC
Molecule: ribosomal RNA, 301 nt
Filed under: uncultured bacterium
Lineage: Bacteria
Description: partial 16S ribosomal RNA
Rfam family: Bacterial small subunit ribosomal RNA
Source: RNAcentral